GACGAACGCUGGCGGCGUGCUUAACACAUGCCAGUCGAACGGAAAGGCCCUGCUUUUGUGGGGUGCUCGAGUGGCGAACGGGUGAGUAACACGUGAGUAACCUGCCCUUGACUUUGGGAUAACUUCAGGAAACUGGGGCUAAUACCGGAUAGGAGCUCCUGCUGCCUGGUGGGGGUUGGAAAGUUUCGGCGGUUGGGGAUGGACUCGCGGCUUAUCAGCUUGUUGGUGGGGUAGUGGCUUACCAAGGCUUUGACGGGUAGCCGGCCUGAGAGGGUGACCGGCCACAUUGGGGCUGAGAUACGGCCCAGACUCCUACGGGAGGCAGCAGUGGGGAAUAUUGCACAAUGGGCGGAAGCCGGAUGCAGCAACGCCGCGUGCGGGAUGACGGCCUUCGGGUUGUAAACCGCUUUCGCCUGUGACGAAGCGUGAGUGACGGUAAUGGGUAAAGAAGCACCGGCUAACUACGUG
RNAcentral lists this ribosomal RNA (468 nucleotides) under uncultured bacterium. RNAcentral describes it as "partial 16S ribosomal RNA". It matches the Rfam family "Bacterial small subunit ribosomal RNA", at positions 28 to 507 of the family's 1533-position model. The record is from RNAcentral.